RNAcentral lists this small RNA (584 nucleotides) under Pongo abelii (Sumatran orangutan). RNAcentral describes it as "retained intron". Lineage: Eukaryota; Metazoa; Chordata; Mammalia; Primates; Hominidae. The record is from RNAcentral.
AGUGCGCCUGCGCGCUUGUGGAGCUGGUGGCGGCGCUCCGCAGGGGCUCGGCUGUUCUCCGCGCGGCGGGCGCGGCCAUGGCGCAGCCGGGGAAGCUGCUCAAGGAGCAGAAGUACGACCGGCAGCUGAGGUUGUGGGGUGAUCAUGGGCAAGAGGCUUUAGAAUCUGCUCAUGUUUGCCUAAUAAACGCAACAGCCACAGGAACUGAAAUUCUUAAAAACUUGGUACUACCAGGUAUUGGUUCGUUUACAGUUAUUGAUGGAAAUCAGGUCAGCGGAGAAGAUGCUGGAAACAAUUUCUUCCUUCAAAGAAGCAGUAUCGGCAAGAACCGAGCUGAAGCUGCCAUGGAAUUCUUACAAGAAUUAAAUAGCGAUGUCUCUGGAAGUUUUGUGGAAGAGGUAUAUAUGUACACACACUAUUAUGUCUGUGCUGAAAUACAAUUUUUUAAAUAAUUCAAAAUCCCAGAAAUUUAGAAUUUUGAAUCUUUGUGUCAUUUAUGAUUAGUUGAAUUGGAAUUGUUGCCUCAUUUAUUGUAAAAUAGCUUAACUGUCUCUGCCAUGUUUAAUAUGAUUGUGAAAUUUUUU